UUAAAUUGAAGAGUUUGAUCAUGGCUCAGAUUGAACGCUGGCGGCAGGCCUAACACAUGCAAGUCGAACGGUAACAGGAAUCAGCUUGCUGAUUUGCUGACGAGUGGCGGACGGGUGAGUAAUGUCUGGGAAACUGCCUGAUGGAGGG
Molecule: ribosomal RNA, 148 nt
Filed under: Escherichia coli
Lineage: Bacteria; Pseudomonadati; Pseudomonadota; Gammaproteobacteria; Enterobacterales; Enterobacteriaceae
Description: partial 16S ribosomal RNA
Rfam family: Bacterial small subunit ribosomal RNA
Source: RNAcentral